AACUCCUUUACUUGGACUUGGAAUCCAGUAAGUAAUAAGUGAAAAGUGUAGCCGCAAAAGUGCCCUCUUCAGUCGCAGUUGCUGAACCUCAAUUAGUGUCCGUAAGCAUGCGUUAUGCCCAAAAGAGUGACAGUAGGUCCAAAACUAACACCUUAACUUUGAGUGCCUAUAUUUUCUUUAUAAAAACCCCAAAUGACACAAAACUUGCACCAAAACCAUAGCCAAAAACCUAAACCUUUUGACCUUAGCCUUUAAAACUCGAAUGGCCUCGACAAACUAACCCUAAUCCAUAAUAUGGCCUCAAGCAGCCUCCUCAAAGUCCAUUGGUCAUGAUUUUUGAUCAAUAGGAAUGGAGAUUUUCAU
Molecule: long non-coding RNA, 363 nt
Filed under: Physcomitrium patens
Lineage: Eukaryota; Viridiplantae; Streptophyta; Bryopsida; Funariales; Funariaceae
Description: long non-coding RNA (PPAT_LNC011768)
Source: RNAcentral